RNAcentral lists this ribosomal RNA (492 nucleotides) under uncultured bacterium. RNAcentral describes it as "partial 16S ribosomal RNA". It matches the Rfam family "Bacterial small subunit ribosomal RNA", at positions 29 to 507 of the family's 1533-position model. The record is from RNAcentral.
AGUGAACGCUGGCGGUAGGCCUAACACAUGCAAGUCGAACGGCAGCACAGUAAGAGCUUGCUCUUACGGGUGGCGAGUGGCGGACGGGUGAGGAAUACAUCGGAAUCUACUUUUUCGUGGGGGAUAACGUAGGGAAACUUACGCUAAUACCGCAUACGACCUACGGGUGAAAGCAGGGGAUCUUCGGACCUUGCGCGAUUGAAUGAGCCGAUGUCGGAUUAGCUAGUUGGCGGGGUAAAGGCCCACCAAGGCGACGAUCCGUAGCUGGUCUGAGAGGAUGAUCAGCCACACUGGAACUGAGACACGGUCCAGACUCCUACGGGAGGCAGCAGUGGGGAAUAUUGGACAAUGGGCGCAAGCCUGAUCCAGCCAUACCGCGUGGGUGAAGAAGGCCUUCGGGUUGUAAAGCCCUUUUGUUGGGAAAGAAAAGCAGCAGGUUAAUACCCCGAUGUUCUGACGGUACCCAAAGAAUAAGCACCGGCUAACUUCGUG